GGCUUAUUUUGCGAUGGCGGAGCUCGACCGCCGGUCGAAGUGAUGGUGGAUUUCGUUGAAGCGCAUCGCGAUGCGCAUGGGGUCGAGCCGAUCUGCACGGUGAGCCGCCGAAGGCGCCA
The sequence is a regulatory RNA element, 119 nucleotides long. It matches the Rfam family "ALIL pseudoknot". The record is from Rfam.